Molecule: long non-coding RNA, 422 nt
Organism: Macadamia integrifolia
Lineage: Eukaryota; Viridiplantae; Streptophyta; Magnoliopsida; Proteales; Proteaceae
Exons: 4
Source: RefSeq, a predicted model, not a curated record
AUAUUUAGUGGAGAGAGAAAGGGCCAGAUAUUUAAUGUGGAGUGGAGAGAGAGUGACACAUAAUUGACGAAAUUGGAUACAAAAGGUGGGAGAUCUGUUAACGGGUGAAGAAAACCUCCUUUCUUCUUCCUUCCAAAGCAAAUCAAUCCAAACCCAACCCAACCCUAGGCAAGAAAAAAUCUCUGUAUAUUUUUCCUUUCAUCUUAAUCAAAAUCUUAAAACAUGGGCACCGAAUACGAUUACCUUUUCAAGCUUCUCUUAAUCGGAGACUCAUCCGUCGGAAAGUCAUGUCUUCUUCUGAGAUUCGCAGAUGAUUCGUAUGUUGACAGUUACAUUAGUACAAUUGGUGUCGAUUUUAAAAUCAGAACCGUGGAGUUGGAUGGAAAGACUAUCAAGCUGCAAAUUGUGAGUAAUUUGAAUUC